AUGUCUUUGCCAACUGUCCAGCUGAGCUCUCUGUACCCUGUUUUGGAUCUCUCUUGUCUUGAAACAGAGUUCACUUGGUCGGAGAUUGUUGCUGCCAUUAAUCAUUCCCCAAACAACCGAAGCCCUGGCCCAGAUGGUUUCACAAACGAGUUCUUCAAGCAGUUCCACUCCACUCUUCGGCCUGACCUGGAGCUCUUCUUCUCCGAGCUGUAUCACAAUCGUGUGGACCUGCUCGGGUCCAACACGGCCUUUGUUUCCCUCCUUCCUAAGAAGAGUACGCCGUUGGAGCUGACAGAUUUCAGGCCUAUAUCCGUUGUGCACAGCAUACCAAAACUGGCCAGCAAGGUUCUUGCUCGGAGACUGCAGUGUCAGAUACCACAUCUUAUCCACUCUCUUUAG
RNAcentral lists this ribosomal RNA (399 nucleotides) under Triticum aestivum (bread wheat). Its description in RNAcentral is "partial small subunit ribosomal RNA". The record is from RNAcentral. Lineage: Eukaryota; Viridiplantae; Streptophyta; Magnoliopsida; Poales; Poaceae.